CCCUUAGAUGUUCUGGGCUGCACGCGCGCUACACUGAUGCGCUCAACGAGUUUUAACCUUGCCUGGAAAGGUUGGGUAAUCUUUUUAAAACGCAUCGUGAUGGGGAUAGAUUAUUGCAAUUAUUAAUCUUCAACGAGGAAUUCCUAGUAAGCGCGAGUCAUCAGCUCGUGCUGAUUACGUCCCUGCCCUUUGUACACACCGCCCGUCGCUCCUACCGAUUGAGUGAUACGGUGAAUAAUUCGGACUGCGGCAUUGACCGGUUCCCGAUCGUUGCUGCGGAAAGUUUAGUGAACCUUAUCACUUAGAGGAAGGAGAAGUCGUAACA
Molecule: ribosomal RNA, 325 nt
Filed under: uncultured eukaryote
Lineage: Eukaryota
Description: partial 18S ribosomal RNA
Rfam family: Eukaryotic small subunit ribosomal RNA
Source: RNAcentral